RNAcentral lists this ribosomal RNA (921 nucleotides) under uncultured archaeon. RNAcentral describes it as "bacterial SSU rRNA". It matches the Rfam family "Archaeal small subunit ribosomal RNA", at positions 1 to 922 of the family's 1478-position model. The record is from RNAcentral.
UUCCGGUUGAUCCCGCCGGAGGUCAUUGCUAUUGGAGUCCGAUUUAGCCAUGCUAGUUGUACGAGUUUAGACUCGUAGCAGAUAGCUCAGUAACACGUGGCCAAACUACCCUGUCGAUCGGGAUAACCUCGGGAAACUGAGGCUAAUACCGAAUACGGCUCGAUGCCUGGAGUUGGCUCGAGCCCGAAAUGCCCCGGCGCGACAGGAUGUGGCUGCGGCCGAUUAGGUUGACGGUGGGGUAACGGCCCACCGUGCCUAUAAUCGGUACGGGUUGUGAAAGCAAGAGCCCGGAGACGGAAUCUGAGACAAGAUUCCGGGCCCUACGGGGCGCAGCAGGCGCGAAACCUUUACACUGCACGAGAGUGCGAUAGGGGGACUCCAAGUGCGAGGGCAUACAGUCCUCGCUUUUCUGCACCGUAAGGUGGUGCAGGAAUAAGUGCUGGGCAAGACCGGUGCCAGCCGCCGCGGUAAUACCGGCAGCACGAGUGAUGACCGCUAUUAUUGGGCCUAAAGCGUCCGUAGCCGGCCAGGCAAGUCCAUCGGGAAAUCCGCACGCCUAACGUGUGGGCGUCCGGUGGAAACUGCUUGGCUUGGGACCGGAAGACCUGAGGGGUACGUCUGGGGGUAGGAGUGAAAUCCCGUAAUCCUGGACGGACCACCGGUGGCGAAAGCGCCUCAGGAAGACGGAUCCGACGGUGAGGGACGAAAGCUUGGGUCACGAACCGGAUUAGAUACCCGGGUAGUCCAAGCUGUAAACGAUGUCUGCUAGGUGUGGCGCUGGCUACGAGCCAGCGCUGUGCCGUAGGGAGGCCGUGAAGCAGACCGCCUGGGAAGUACGUCUGCAAGGAUGAAACUUAAAGGAAUUGGCGGGGGAGCACUACAACCGGAGGAGCCUGCGGUUUAAUUGGAUUCAACGCCGGA